This 424-nucleotide ribosomal RNA is filed under the name uncultured bacterium. RNAcentral describes it as "bacterial SSU rRNA". It matches the Rfam family "Bacterial small subunit ribosomal RNA", at positions 355 to 796 of the family's 1533-position model. The record is from RNAcentral.
UGGGGAAUAUUGGACAAUGGGCGCAAGCCUGAUCCAGCAAUGCCGCGUGUGUGAAGAAGGUCUUAGGAUUGUAAAGCACUUUCGACGGGGACGAUGAUGACGGUACCCGUAGAAGAAGCCCCGGCUAACUUCGUGCCAGCAGCCGCGGUAAUACGAAGGGGGCUAGCGUUGCUCGGAAUGACUGGGCGUAAAGGGCGCGUAGGCGGCGAACCAAGUUAGAUGUGAAAAUCCUGGGCUCAACCUGGGGACUGCAUUUGAUACUGGUUUGCUAGAGUUCGGAAGAGGGUAGUGGAAUUUCCAGUGUAGAGGUGAAAUUCGUAGAUAUUGGAAAGAACACCGGUGGCGAAGGCGGCUACCUGGUCCGACACUGACGCUGAGGCGCGAAAGCGUGGGGAGCAAACAGGAUUAGAUACCCCCGUAGUCC